This 2127-nucleotide long non-coding RNA is filed under the name Capsicum annuum. RNAcentral's name for it is "long non-coding RNA (CANN_LNC017146)". Lineage: Eukaryota; Viridiplantae; Streptophyta; Magnoliopsida; Solanales; Solanaceae. The record is from RNAcentral.
UUUUUUUCAACUCCAGCAUCCGGCUUAAACCUACAACACAAGAUCAAACGGUAAUUUCAUCGGGAACAGUAAAAUAGUAAUGGAAAAAUGAGUAACGUUAUUAUAUUUAGAAAUCUUACGCUCUCGCAAUUGGAACCAUAUAAAUCCUCCCAGAAUCAUCUCUGUCUCCUAGCUGCCUAGUAAGCGAUGGUGGAUGCACUGGCAUGGGAGAUCGAAAGCACCAGAUGGAGUGCCUCCAAGCUGAAGAUCCAACAACCCAAUAGAUCCAGUAGAAUUACUAUGCGAAGCUGCGUGACUGCUGCAGGAGGGUAUCGAUGAUAGUAGAUAACUGGAGAGGCCAGCGGCCGUCCGAUAGUACCAAAAUUUAAGCAUUUUCAACAAAUAAAGUCACCAACAACAUCACCUCCUAAACAGUAGUUCACUAUUAAAGUCACCAAAACUUAAGCUUUUUUAACUAACAAAGGCACCAACGAAACUAAUUCACUAUUAAAGUCACCAAAAGUUAAGCAUUUUCAACAAAUAAAGUCACCAACAACAUACCUUCUAAACACUAAUUAGUAUUAAAGUCACCGACACUUAAGCAUUUUCAACAAAUAAAGUCACCAAUAACAUCACCUUCUAAACAAAAGUUCACUUUUAAAGUCACCAAAACUUAAGCAUUUUCAACUAAUAAAGUCACCAACCACAUCAUCUCUUAAACAUUAAUUCACUAUUAACGUCACAAAAACUUAAGCAUUUUCAACAAAUAAAGUCACUAACAACAUCACCUCCUAAACACUAGUUCACUAUUAAAGUCACCAAAACUUAAGCUUUUUCAACUAACAAAGCCACCAAUGAAACUAACUUCUAAACAAUAAUUCACUAUUAAAGUCACCGGCACUUAAGCAUUUUCAACAAAUAAAGUAACCAACAACAUCACCUUCUAAACAAAAGUUGACUUUUAAAGUCACCAAAACUUAAGCAUUUUCAACUAAUAAAGUCACCAACCACAUCACCUCCUAAACACUAAUUCACUAUUAAAGUCACCAAAACUUAAGCAUUUUCAACAAAUAAAGUCACCAACUAAACCAUUUUCAAGCAACUAAGUAUCAAAACAAAAGCACAUUCAAAACAAAAAAAUACCCUUCAAAGUCCCUAGACUUAAACCAUUUUCGAGUAACUAAGUGGCCUAACAAACCAUAUUCAAAACAAAAAAAAUUUCCUUCAAUGUCCCUACACUUAACCAUUUUCAAGUUACUAAGUCGUCAAACAAGUCACAUUCAAAACACAAAAUCCCCUUCAAAGUUCCUACUCUUAACCACUUUCAAUCUACCAUGUCACCCUUAAAGUCCCUACACUUAAUCAUUUUCAACCUACCUAGUCACCAAAUUAUUUUCAACCUACCAAGCCCCUAAACAUUCAAGAUCAAGUUCACAAUACAAUUUUCAAGCAACAACAAAACCAACAAGCUAUCAAGAACAAUGCUAAUGAAUCGCACAAGGCCACACACGACUUUACUAGACUUCAAUAUGAACAAUCAAAGAAAGAUAACAACAAUAGUGAAUCGCACAAGGCCCCACACAGCUUCACUAUGUCCACAUACCUUUGAUAUUUUUUUUUAAUUUCUUGAUAUUUCAAAAUGGAAGCUUCAAUCUGCUUAUAGAUUCUCUCACGGGAAAUUGCAAUAUAGAAAAUAAUGAGCUUAGCAAAUUAAAAGAUACACAACUCCAUUUUCAACGGAUCUUAAACUUGUGAUCUUAAACAUACCGCAUUACUUAUGUGGUUAAGAAAAAAUGUAUUAAGAAUAAAAUAGAAACUUUAAAGUUAAGGUGUUUUCAAAUAUAAAAUUGCGUCAAUUGUUUUUUUUUUUGUUUUGAGAAUGAACUAGCAAAAGAACAAUGUCACACAAAAUAGAAUGGGUUCUGAAUUUCAAAAUGGCUACUUCAAGGGUUAAUAACUGGGUUCUAAAUUUAAUAUUUGUACAUAUUUAAUGAAUUUCUUGACACAAUGCACUAUUUGAGCAAAAGCUACAGAGUACCCGAGCUUCUAGCUCUGCCUAGUUUGUGAUGACCCUUUCCACAUUCAUAGUGAAACAAAUGUUAAAAAAGGCAUUAAACUAGUUACCUAUAAAGUAGCAUGAGUAUAGAG